This is a long non-coding RNA of Syngnathus typhle (broad-nosed pipefish), 742 nucleotides long. RefSeq lists it as uncharacterized. The transcript has 2 exons. Lineage: Eukaryota; Metazoa; Chordata; Actinopteri; Syngnathiformes; Syngnathidae. The record is from RefSeq and is a predicted model, not a curated record.
GUCUACCGUCCGUGCCCAGUGUUCCUGUUGGCUGGUUCCCCCCCCCCCCGGUCUGUCUGCAGGAUCACGGUCAGAAUUUUAACCUUGUCCAAGUGGACUUCUGUCGGUCGGUCUGUCUGUUUGCUGGGCCUGCAUUUGGUCGCCCUGCCUCAACUCAUUCCUGAGACAAAUAAUACAAACAGUUGGAGUGCCUGGGAGAGCGGAGGCUUCGUGGCCGUUUGUCUGCCGUCGAUCAUCGGACACAAAGUAUGGCUGCGGAUCGAGAGUUUGUUUUCUCUCCCUCUCCACCCCCUCCCUCCCCCCUCCCCGGCCGGGGAGGUGGUUAGGUGGUACCCAUGCUGACAGCGGCUAUCUGGAUUCUCGUGGCCAAUUCAGGAUAGGGGAACUGCAGCUCAACCUCCUCGAAGAGCACUGCCAGGACAAUUGAGGGCUCCUUUCGGCAGCCCUCUGCUGUGACAUGGACAUCCACUUUUUAUUUAAUUGAUUUUCAUGUUGUAUCAUUUGUGCCCUCUCUGCAUCCAUUUCAACCUGGUGAUCCUGAAAGGGGGAUCCUUCCAUCUGUGGUCCCUUCUCAAGGUUUCUCAUUUUCCCCCUGCUAGGGGUUUUUAAGUUUUUCCUUGCCCUUUUGGGAGCUUAAGAUCAGGGGAUGCUUUGAGAAUAAUUGUCAAUUUCUGUCUAUGUGAAGCCCUUUGAGACUGCUUGUGAUUUAGGGCUAUACAAAUAAACUUGACUUGACUUGACU